Molecule: ribosomal RNA, 1368 nt
Filed under: uncultured beta proteobacterium
Lineage: Bacteria; Pseudomonadati; Pseudomonadota; Betaproteobacteria
Description: bacterial SSU rRNA
Rfam family: Bacterial small subunit ribosomal RNA
Source: RNAcentral
GAUUGAACGCUGGCGGCAUGCCUUACACAUGCAAGUCGAACGGCAGCACGGGUGCUUGCACCUGGUGGCGAGUGGCGAACGGGUGAGUAAUACAUCGGAACAUGUCCUGUAGUGGGGGAUAGCCCGGCGAAAGCCGGAUUAAUACCGCAUACGAUCUACGGAUGAAAGCGGGGGACCUUCGGGCCUCGCGCUAUAGGGUUGGCCGAUGGCUGAUUAGCUAGUUGGUGGGGUAAAGGCCUACCAAGGCGACGAUCAGUAGCUGGUCUGAGAGGACGACCAGCCACACUGGGAGUGAGACACGGCCCAGACUCCUACGGGAGGCAGCAGUGGGGAAUUUUGGACAAUGGGCGAAAGCCUGAUCCAGCAAUGCCGCGUGUGUGAAGAAGGCCUUCGGGUUGUAAAGCACUUUUGUCCGGAAAGAAAUCCUUGGCUCUAAUACAGUCGGGGGAUGACGGUACCGGAAGAAUAAGCACCGGCUAACUACGUGCCAGCAGCCGCAGUAAUACGUAGGGUGCGAGCGUUAAUCGGAAUUACUGGGCGUAAAGCGUGCGCAGGCGGUUUGCUAAGACCGAUGUGAAAUCCCCGGGCUCAACCUGGGAACUGCAUUGGUGACUGGCAGGCUAGAGUAUGGCAGAGGGGGGUAGAAUUCCACGUGUAGCAGUGAAAUGCGUAGAGAUGUGGAGGAAUACCGAUGGCGAAGGCAGCCCCCUGGGCCAAUACUGACGCUCAUGCACGAAAGCGUGGGGAGCAAACAGGAUUAGAUACCCUGGUAGUCCACGCCCUAAACGAUGUCAACUAGUUGUUGGGGAUUCAUUUCCUUAGUAACGUAGCUAACGCGUGAAGUUGACCGCCUGGGGAGUACGGUCGCAAGAUUAAAACUCAAAGGAAUUGACGGGGACCCGCACAAGCGGUGGAUGAUGUGGAUUAAUUCGAUGCAACGCGAAAAACCCUACCUACCCUUGACAUGGUCGGAAUCCCGCUGAGAGGUGGGAGUGCUCGAAAGAGAACCGGCGCACAGGUGCUGCAUGGCUGUCGUCAGCUCGUGUCGUGAGAUGUUGGGUUAAGUCCCGCAACGAGCGCAACCCUUGUCCUUAGUUGCUACGCAAGAGCACUCUAAGGAGACUGCCGGUGACAAACCGGAGGAAGGUGGGGAUGACGUCAAGUCCUCAUGGCCCUUAUGGGUAGGGCUUCACACGUCAUACAAUGGUCGGAACAGAGGGUUGCCAACCCGCGAGGGGGAGCUAAUCCCAGAAAACCGAUCGUAGUCCGGAUUGCACUCUGCAACUCGAGUGCAUGAAGCUGGAAUCGCUAGUAAUCGCGGAUCAGCAUGCCGCGGUGAAUACGUUCCCGGGUCUUGUACACACCGCC